Molecule: ribosomal RNA, 393 nt
Filed under: uncultured bacterium
Lineage: Bacteria
Description: bacterial SSU rRNA
Rfam family: Bacterial small subunit ribosomal RNA
Source: RNAcentral
GUGUCAGCCGCCGCGGUAAGACGUAGGGGGCCAGCGUUGUUCGGAAUUACUGGGUGUAAAGGGUUCGUAGGCGGUGUGGCAAGUUGGGAGUGAAAUCUCUGGGCUCAACCCAGAGGCUGCUUCCAAAACUGCUGUGCUUGAGUGUGGGAGAGGCGCGUGGAAUUGCAGGUGUAGCGGUGAAAUGCGUAGAUAUCUGCAGGAACACCCGUGGCGAAAGCGGCGCGCUGGACCACAACUGACGCUGAGGAACGAAAGCUAGGGGAGCAAACAGGAUUAGAUACCCUGGUAGUCCUAGCCCUAAACGAUCAGGACUUGGGGUGCCGCACGUUCGUGCGUCGUCCCGGAGCUAACGCGUUAAGUCCUGCACCUGGGGAGUACGGUCGCAAGACUGAA